RNAcentral lists this ribosomal RNA (238 nucleotides) under uncultured bacterium. Its description in RNAcentral is "partial 16S ribosomal RNA". It matches the Rfam family "Bacterial small subunit ribosomal RNA", at positions 15 to 236 of the family's 1533-position model. The record is from RNAcentral.
GAUCAUGGCUCAGGACGAACGCUGGCGGCGUGCUUAACACAUGCAAGUCGAACGAGAAUCUACUGAAAGAGUUUUCGGACAAUGGAUGUAGAGGAAAGUGGCGGACGGGUGAGUAACGCGUGAGGAACCUGCCUUGAAGAGGGGGACAACAGUUGGAAACGACUGCUAAUACCGCAUGACGCAUAGGGGUCGCAUGAUCUUUAUGCCAAAGGUUUAUCGCUUCAAGAUGGCCUCGCGU